AUGGCAUACAAGAAGCUGAGCGACUUAACUAGAAGUGGACAGAAUUGGAAUGUUCAAGUGAAAGUAAUGAGAAUGUGGGAUUCAGUGAAUCCUACUACCGAUGAGCUUAUUAGCCUAGAUAUGAUACUGAUGGAUGAGCAGGGUGAAACAGUCCAUUCUACUAUAUGGAAGAAUCUUAUAGACACUUUUAGAUCAAAGAUCAAUGGAAAAUCUAUUUAUGCAUUCAACAAUUUUAAGGUCGUGGAAUCCACAAAAUAUUGGCCAGUGAGCAAUGAAAUUAAAAUAUUUUUUGCAUACAAUACAAAGGUAAAGGAAAUAAAAGGAUCUUCAAAAGUUCUCCUAGAUUAUUGCUUCGAGUUUGCUACCAUGGACACACUAGAAGAAAUGGCAGAAAAAGAUACACAAUGCUCAGAUGUCAUAGGACUACUAACUCAAAUGAAGCCAGUGGAGACAAGAAUAACAAAAAGGAACCCACAACCUUCAUAUAUCCGUGAGAUUGAAAUCCUAAUGCCAAAGGGUGAUAAAAUCAGAAUCACACUGUGGGGAAAGUUUGCUUAUUUUUUGACCGAGGAUGUAAUUGGCAGCCAAACUGUCCUUAUUAUCACAUCAAUGAUGGUGCAGAGAUUCAAUGGUUUGUGCCUAAAUUCAACGAGUGCCACAAGAAUAUAUAUAGAUCUAGAUAUACCAGAAACACAAGAACUUCUUGAUAGAAAAGGUCACACCUCGGAAUUGAUGGAUGAUGAGGUGGACACCGUUUUGUUGAAGAAGCAAAACAUGCCAGAUACAGAGGAGCCACGUGAAAGCACUGGGACUACACUAAACAAAGAUAAGCGUCAAGACAAAAUAUCAUCAUCGUCAUCACGUGAGCUCCGCAGUGGCACUAAAAGGAGAUUGAGAUAUGUUGUAAUAUCAGACGAGUCAGAGGAUGAAUGCACUGAGACGAAUAUGCCUCAACAAAAGGAAAAAGGUGUCCUCAGGAACAAGAAACAUGUUAAAGUAGAAGCCAAAAAUACAAUGGUUGAAGAUGAAGAUGAAGUACCGAAAUCGAAGGCCAGGAGAAAAAGGAUGUUAUCAAGAUAA
RNAcentral lists this ribosomal RNA (1080 nucleotides) under Triticum aestivum (bread wheat). RNAcentral describes it as "partial small subunit ribosomal RNA". The record is from RNAcentral. Lineage: Eukaryota; Viridiplantae; Streptophyta; Magnoliopsida; Poales; Poaceae.